This 73-nucleotide transfer RNA is filed under the name Stegodyphus mimosarum. It matches the Rfam family "tRNA". From Rfam's summary of the family: Transfer RNA (tRNA) molecules are approximately 80 nucleotides in length. Their secondary structure includes four short double-helical elements and three loops (D, anti-codon, and T loops). The record is from Rfam by way of RNAcentral. Lineage: Eukaryota; Metazoa; Arthropoda; Arachnida; Araneae; Eresidae.
GUCUGCGUGGUGUAGUGGUCAACACGCUCGAUGCGUAUUCGGUAAGUCUGUGGUUCGAGUCCCGGCGAAGGCA